RNAcentral lists this ribosomal RNA (100 nucleotides) under Microtus ochrogaster (prairie vole). Lineage: Eukaryota; Metazoa; Chordata; Mammalia; Rodentia; Cricetidae. The record is from RNAcentral.
GGUUAUGGCCCUACCACCGCAAAUGUGACUGAUCUCAUCUGUUCUCAGAAACUAAGCAGUGUCAGACCUACUUGGAUUGCAGAACUGGGGCCUAAAAUUG